Molecule: ribosomal RNA, 500 nt
Filed under: uncultured bacterium
Lineage: Bacteria
Description: partial 16S ribosomal RNA
Rfam family: Bacterial small subunit ribosomal RNA
Source: RNAcentral
AUUGAACGCUGGCGGAAUGCUUUACACAUGCAAGUCGAACGGCAGCACGGGGGCAACCCUGGUGGCGAGUGGCGAACGGGUGAGUAAUACAUCGGAACGUGCCCAGUCGUGGGGGAUAACGUAGCGAAAGUUACGCUAAUACCGCAUACGAUCUACGGAUGAAAGCGGGGGACCGUAAGGCCUCGCGCGAUUGGAGCGGCCGAUGUCAGAUUAGGUAGUUGGUGAGGUAAAGGCUCACCAAGCCGACGAUCUUUAGCUGGUCUGAGAGGACGACCAGCCACACUGGGACUGAGACACGGCCCAGACUCCUACGGGAGGCAGCAGUGGGGAAUUUUGGACAAUGGGCGCAAGCCUGAUCCAGCCAUUCCGCGUGCAGGACGAAGGCCUUCGGGUUGUAAACUGCUUUUGUACGGAACGAAAAGGCUCUGAUUAAUACCUGGGGCUCAUGACGGUACCGUAAGAAUAAGCACCGGCUAACUACGUGCCAGCAGCCGCGGUAA